GUAAGGUCCUUCAGCAAUGGAGUGCUAGGAAGUCACCCAGGUUGCUGGCCUUCCAGAGGAAAAGGGUCACAGAAAUUCUCUCUUGUUGGUCAUCUCACCAAAGAGGCCAAGGCCUGAAUUGGCAUAAUGACUGAACUAUCAUCUCAUCCGAGGUCAGAGUUGGGAUGCACGCCAGGGAACUUGGACUCCUGCUCCCUGGUCUGUAUCUAUUCUGUGGCUAACUAGAGGACUUCAUUCUCCAGGGAUAUCCUCUUGGAACCUUUUGGAAGAAGCAAUAAACUCUCUUAAACAAAACAAAAAGGAACAAAGUUUGUCAUCCUAAGACACCAGACCUUUAACGAGGCUCAGGUAACCUCUGACAGUGCUUAUGGUGCUAACAAAGAGUCCCUGUCAGCCUUUGUAGAAGACUUUGAGACUUCAAUCAGCAUUGACUUUCCAGAAGAUGAGGAGUAUGUUGGUGAAGUGCUAGACUGUGGUUCUUCGGAUAUAUCAGUUCAUGGAAGAACAGAAGAAGCUCAGCUUGCAGAUGAAAAAGAUGACAGAAAUAGCAGUAUCCCAGAAGUUGUGAUCACACAGGCAGAUGAGGAAAGAGAGCACUAAGAUUUUAUGAACACAAAAAGAUUGAAGAAUCAAAUCUCAGCAGCAGUAAAGAUGAAACUGAUAAAGGUUGGGACUUCAGAGGAGACUAAUUACAGCAUGCACAAUACGAAGCAUAAAUGUGGGACACUUACCUUAAUCCUCUUAUGUUUGUGUGCCUUGAAGUCAUGGUUCUUUGUAUGGUUUAGGAUUUCAAGAGCCUGAUUCUUCGAAUGUUGAGGAAGAAGACGUCAAGGAAGUGAAUGGGUAGCUGGGACAUCAUCGGAAUAGAGGAAGCAUACAGAAGUCUUGGAUACAGAAGAGUUACCGGUAGG
Mauremys reevesii (Reeves's turtle) is the source of this 911-nucleotide long non-coding RNA. RefSeq lists it as uncharacterized. Lineage: Eukaryota; Metazoa; Chordata; Testudines; Geoemydidae. The record is from RefSeq and is a predicted model, not a curated record. The transcript has 6 exons.